CCUACGGGUGGCAGCAGUGGGGAAUAUUGGGCAAUGGGCGCAAGCCUGACCCAGCAACGCCGCGUGAGGGAAGAAGGCUUUCGGGUUGUAAACCUCUUUUAAGAGGGAAGAGCAGAAGACGGUACCUCUUGAAUAAGCCACGGCUAACUAAGUGCGAGCAGCCGCGGUAAUACGGAGGUGGCAAGCGUGGUCCGGAUUUACUGGGUGUAAAGGGCGUGUAGCCGGGCUGACAAGUCAGAUGUGAAAUUCCUGGUCUCAACCCCGGACCUGCAUUUGAAACUGUUGGUCUUGAGUGUAGGAGAGGCAGGCGGAAUUCCUGGUGUAGCGGUGAAAUGCGUAGAUAUUAGGAGGAACACCAGUGGCGAAGGCGGCCUACUGGACGACAACUGACGGUGAGGCGCGAAAGCGUGGGGAGCAAACAGGAUUAGAUACCCGGGUAGUC
RNAcentral lists this ribosomal RNA (442 nucleotides) under uncultured bacterium. RNAcentral's name for it is "partial 16S ribosomal RNA". It matches the Rfam family "Bacterial small subunit ribosomal RNA", at positions 338 to 795 of the family's 1533-position model. The record is from RNAcentral.